This 30-nucleotide non-coding RNA is filed under the name Mus musculus (house mouse). Lineage: Eukaryota; Metazoa; Chordata; Mammalia; Rodentia; Muridae. The record is from RNAcentral.
UAACUCUGACUUACUACUUACUAUGUUCCA